This 432-nucleotide ribosomal RNA is filed under the name Triticum aestivum (bread wheat). RNAcentral's name for it is "partial small subunit ribosomal RNA". Lineage: Eukaryota; Viridiplantae; Streptophyta; Magnoliopsida; Poales; Poaceae. The record is from RNAcentral.
AUGUGGCAGGGCUAUUGCAGAACCUAUGAGCAGGAUAUGCAAGCACAAGUCAUGAAGUCACUAACAAAAGGUCCCAAACUAGAUUUUCCAAGGUUUUCAGGUGAAGAUCCAGUCGGUUGGCUGAGGCAAUGCAACAAAUAUUUCCAGAUGUCUGGAGCUCCAGAGGAGUACAAGAUAUCCCUAGCUCAGAUGUAUGUUAUAGGGGAUGCAGAUGUGUGGUUAAGGAGAUCUGGGUUACUAAAGAAGCAGUUGAGAUGGAAACAAUUUGGAGCUGAAGUGAUCGAACAAUUUUUUGAAAAAGGCUCCUAUGAUUUGACUGAAAAAUUCAAUUCAGUCAAGCAAUUGCAAAGUACAGUGUCUGAAUACACUAAAGUGUUUGAAGAUUUAAUGGCAGAUGUUCAGGAAGAAAAUCCUGAAUUGGGAGAACUCUAG